GAGGCUGUGGACAAGUGGUUUAAGUCGUCUGUCUUUCACGCAGAAGAUCGCGGGUUCGAAUCCCGUCAGCCCCA
This is a transfer RNA of 74 nucleotides. It matches the Rfam family "tRNA". From Rfam's summary of the family: Transfer RNA (tRNA) molecules are approximately 80 nucleotides in length. Their secondary structure includes four short double-helical elements and three loops (D, anti-codon, and T loops). Further hydrogen bonds mediate the characteristic L-shaped molecular structure. tRNAs have two regions of fundamental functional importance: the anti-codon, which is responsible for specific mRNA codon recognition, and the 3' end, to which the tRNAs corresponding amino acid is attached (by aminoacyl-tRNA synthetases). tRNAs cope with the degeneracy of the genetic code in two manners: having more than one tRNA (with a specific anti-codon) for a particular amino acid; and 'wobble' base-pairing, i.e. permitting non-standard base-pairing at the 3rd anti-codon position. The record is from Rfam.